RNAcentral lists this ribosomal RNA (435 nucleotides) under uncultured bacterium. Its description in RNAcentral is "partial 16S ribosomal RNA". It matches the Rfam family "Bacterial small subunit ribosomal RNA", at positions 29 to 507 of the family's 1533-position model. The record is from RNAcentral.
AACGAACGCUGGCGGCAUGCCUAACACAUGCAAGUCGAACGAUUGCCUUCGGGUGAUAGUGGCGCACGGGUGCGUAACGCGUGGGAAUCUGCCCUUAGGUUCGGAAUAACAGCUGGAAACGGCUGCUAAUACCGGAUGAUAUCGCGAGAUCAAAGAUUUAUAGCCUGAGGAUGAGCCCGCGUUGGAUUAGGUAGUUGGUGGGGUAAAGGCCUACCAAGCCGACGAUCCAUAGCUGGUCUGAGAGGAUGAUCAGCCACACUGGGACUGAGACACGGCCCAGACUCCUACGGGAGGCAGCAGUGGGGAAUAUUGGACAAGGGGCGCAAGCCUGAUCCAGCAAUGCCGGGUGAGUGAUGAAGGCCCUAGGGUUGUAAAGCUCUUUUACCCGGGAAGAUAAUGACUGUACCGGGAGAAUAAGCCCCGGCUAACUCCGUG